This 547-nucleotide ribosomal RNA is filed under the name uncultured Glomeromycotina. RNAcentral's name for it is "SSU rRNA". It matches the Rfam family "Eukaryotic small subunit ribosomal RNA", at positions 548 to 1098 of the family's 1831-position model. Lineage: Eukaryota; Fungi; Glomeromycota. The record is from RNAcentral.
UUGGAGGGCAAGUCUGGUGCCAGCAGCCGCGGUAAUUCCAGCUCCAAUAGCGUAUAUUAAAGUUGUUGCAGUUAAAAAGCUCGUAGUUGAAUUUCGGGGUUCUUCCGUUGGUCAGGCUAACAAGUCUGUACUAGCGUGUAGAAUCUCUACCUUCUGGGGAACCAUCAUAUUAUUAAUUUAGCGUGGCGGGAAACCAGGACCUUUACCUUGAAAAAAUUAGAGUGUUCAAAGCAGGCUUACGUCUGAAUACAUUAGCAUGGAAUAAUAAAAUAGGACGGUGGUCCUGUUUUGUUGGUUUCUGAAUCACCGUAAUGAUUAAUAGGGAUAGUUGGGGGCAUCAGUAUUCAAUUGUCAGAGGUGAAAUUCUUGGAUUUAUUGAAGACUAACUUCUGCGAAAGCAUUUGCCAAGGAUGUUUUCAUUAAUCAAGAACGAAAGUUAGGGGAUCGAAGACGAUCAGAUACCGUCGUAGUCUUAACCAUAAACUAUGCCGACUAGGGAUCGGACGAUGUUAAAUUUUAUUGACUCGUUCGGCGCCUUACGGGAAAC